CCCUAACUCCCGUCGAUCCCCUCUCAUCCUCUCCCCCGAUUUAGAUCGUCGUCGCCGCCGCAUGUUCUGCCCCUCCCCCUCCCACCCCCUCGCUGUCGCCUGCUCCUUCCUCUCCAACCUCGGCUCUCGCUUCGCCGCCCCGCGCCCCGCGCUCGCCGCACACACGCAGCUCCUGUCCAUGAAGAUCGGCGCCGCCACCUCCCUCCCCAUCCACUCGUCGCUUCCUCACUCUAUCACUUCUCCUCCUCUCCCGCGAGUCCCCCACCCGCCACCUCCGCACCCACCGGUCGCCGUGCUCCCCUCUGCUGCCGCCGCACCACGCCCACCAUAUCUCCCUUGUCCGGGAGGAUCCCGUCGCUACCGCGCCUCUUCCUGCGCCCCCCCUAGCCUCGCCUCCAACCUAUAGGCGAUGGCGUCCGAGAGGUCAGAUCCGCACCACUACUCCGGCGAUGGUGUCGGCGAACGACGCUGGCGGGGGACACGAACCUCACUUGACAUCGACGGGUCUACGCCGGGCAGCUCAUCGACCUCGCGGGCUCCAGUGACGGCUCCUCCACGAUCACUGCCACCUUCCUCCGCGCGGAUCUGAUGCGGUUCAUCGACGAGGAGAUGUCUCGCUGACCAGGCCCCUGCAAACUCCAGCUCCAGCAGCUGUCCACGGAGCCAGCUCCAGCGUCAAGGGCAUAACGGCAGCAACAGCAAGGUUCGACCCCCCUCUCGAUUUCAUCUUCUUACAUUCCAUUGCCUGAUGCCCAUGGACUCAACCAUGGAGAAGGUCCCUCUCCCUCUGUAUUUUUGACAAGUCCAAGCCAAUGUUGUUGUCAUAAUGUUGCAAGGUGCCUGAUGCUCGCGGACACAACGACAGCAGCAGCGAGGUGUCUAUUAGCAGCAAUAGCAGCAAUGGAAAGAACAAUCCUCUCAUGGUUAGUUAGCAGCAUUAGGAGGAGGAGCUCAAGCAGGCCACCACGACGCAACACCGAACAGCAGACUCGAAGGAGACCAUAUGCAAGGCACCUCCUCUUCAGUUGUGAGAGUGUCUAGGGGUCGUGGGUGCGGCUAAUUCCUAUGUCUGUAGACGCACUUGACAUUGCCCUCUCUUUAAGGGCACGUAUCGUUUUUUCUAACUCUACUAUGUUUUCCCAAGUCUUUAUUAUCUUGCCUAGCCUUGUACUGAUAUGUAUUGUUUGAUGUUAAUUACCCAAGUUAGUGCGUGAUGUAAAGCAUAACCUGAGAACACUUGCCUAAGUUUAUAAGAUAUGACAUGUGACAGUUCAAGCCUGCUGCUCUUUCAGUGCUUUUGCUGCUGUACUGUGCUUCUCUAGUUGUUUGAAUGCUUCUACUGCUAGCCUGCUAGGCUGCUACUAGCUUGAAUAGGUGUGCACUUGUGCUGGUGGUGGUGCUGCUUGUGUUGCUGCUGCUGAUUUAAUGCUUAUGCUGACGCUGCUGUUGAUUAAAUGCUUAUGUUGUUGCUGCAUGCUUAUGCUACUGAUUCAAUGCUUUGGAAAUUGAUUGAAUUGAACCUGUUGUAAUCCUUCUUGUUAUACUUGUAUUUAAUUUUUGGGUUUCUAUUUGAUUUUUUAGUCUCUUAUAUAUGGUUCAUCUUCAGUUUCUUUUGUAACCUGCUUGGAGCUUAGAAUACACAACCCAACUAGUCUCAUAUACAACUAAGACCAAUGAUGCAUGCUUAAUUCUGUAUAUAUGUAUGUAUGACCAGUAAAGUUGGAAGGCCCAAAUUAAUCUUAAAGUUAAUAUGCUCAAUUCUGUACCAUAUUCAUGCUCAUGCAUCACUAGUUACUGCUUUUUUUGCUUGGUCUAUUUUGGCUCAUAACCUAAGUAUACCAAAACUGAUUAAACAAUUUCUCCAACUUACCAAAAUUUUCAUAAUUGUCUCCUGCCUUAUGAUGUUAGUCUCUAUGCACUUACUAGUAUUGUUAGUUGAAUGGAUGGUUGUGGUAGUAGAAUAGGAAUUUUCUUUAGGUGAGUGUUAUACCUAAAUUUGUACCAAUGUACCACGCAGGUAUGUAUAGAUUACUAUUGUAGAACAACAUCAGGUUAAACUGUUGCAUGCAAGUUGUUGGAAGUUUUGUUAUGCCAUGCUUAGUGUUUACUGAACUGGGGCAUUUGGUCUCUUGAAAGAUUAUUAUUUACUUCUAGUGUAUUUCACUAAUAGUUUAUCUAGAUCAGGAUCAAAUGUCGUCGGGGCUACUACUGCUGUGACAGAAGAUGAAGAAGCUUGGAGAUAAAAAUGAUAAAAAUGUCGCAUUUAUAGGAUUGUAAACCUGAUGUGAUUGGAGUAGUUUUUACUCGCUGCUGAUAGUUACUACUAUUCACUGAUUUUGCCACAUUUUGCUUGUUUUACUCUUAUUUAUGCACAGCGACUGCCUACAAGUUAAUGUGCUUUUAGAUUUGCCUUUUAUUUUGUUCCUAACAAUUUUGUUUGAUAACUUGCAGAUGCCCUUCAUUCAUGUUUCGUCGUGAGCUCCAGGACGAAGAAGUCCAGAGAAACAUAGAGUUCUAGCUUAUUGCAGCUAGUUAUACUUCAAUAGCUAGUUUUUUUUUGAUUUUUUAGUUUUGUUACCUGAUGUGAACUAGUUCUGAUGUGAACCAUGUUUGACUGUAAUGUGCCAAGUUUGGCUCUGUUUGAUUAUAUUCAUGAUGUGAACUAUGUUUUCAUGAUA
This is a long non-coding RNA of Triticum urartu, 2678 nucleotides long. RefSeq lists it as uncharacterized. The record is from RefSeq and is a predicted model, not a curated record. Lineage: Eukaryota; Viridiplantae; Streptophyta; Magnoliopsida; Poales; Poaceae.